UCGGAAAAAAAGUUUUCUUCUGAGAAACCGAAUCUCAAGACUCGCUCAUGGCAUCUACUCGGAUGAUCGUUUGUCCCUCUAUAUGUUUGAAAUGAGAGAUGUACAGGAAAUCAAUACAUCGCGGCCCACGGUUAAGAGAUCCUAGGUUGUGUGUAUGUGUGUGUGUCUGUGUGUGUGUGUGCACGCAUGGGCAAGAGAAAGAGAGAAAAGAAGAAGGUAAAAUUCCGAUUCUACGAAUCGAUUAAUCUUGAAAAUCCUAUAGUACAAUUUAUGGAUCAAAUAUUCAUCACUAAAAACAAGAAGAAAAGCAGGUCUACGGGUUGGAAUUCUUUAUAUUUCGCCAGAUCUCGGAAUUCCAAGCGCCGUGAGUGUGUCGAUCUAACAAUACACGGAGGUUCUACGAUUCUGUGAAGAAUGGCAAGAAUAAAAAGGAAUACAAUGCAGAACGGCCACUACAGGAUAACAACAAAGAAAAGAAGGCUUUUGUUCCUCAACUUUUUCCCGUUCCCCUCUUACCGCGCCGUGAUUCUGCCUUGGGUCUAACACCGAAUCGAAUAAAAUAUGUUGCCUACUACUACGAGCAAGUUAGUACAGUCAGAAAUUUUUCUAAGACAUUGAAAUCUCCUAAUCGUUACAAAAUAAAUGCAAAUUAUUCAAAUUAUUCCUUAGCCAUUUCGAAUUUAUUCUAUCGCAAUUCUAAUAGCGCUAGUUUCAUAUCAAAUGUAUUAAAUGUACGAAUAGUUACAACGCCAGAAUAAAUGAAACAACGUGGUUGAACAUUGUGCAUAACCUAUGGAAUCUUUCUUUAUCUCCGCUUUUUUCUGGUUCUGUUCGUUGACGACUAUACUUAAGCGUCAAGUCUGCCACGUCUAUUGAACGUACGUGUGGAAGGCACGGAAAGUCUUCCAACAGUACCAUUCUAGGCAGACGACACUGACAUAAGCCGCAAACGUCGCAAGCAGCAGCGUUGGGACGCAUCAACGAGGCCGGCGGCGAGGACGUGGCAACAGUGCUAUGACUCAGCUCUCCUCGUUCCAACCGC
RNAcentral lists this unclassified non-coding RNA (1042 nucleotides) under Bombus terrestris (buff-tailed bumblebee). RNAcentral describes it as "misc RNA ENSBTSG00005025750.1". The record is from RNAcentral. Lineage: Eukaryota; Metazoa; Arthropoda; Insecta; Hymenoptera; Apidae.